This 455-nucleotide long non-coding RNA is filed under the name Homo sapiens (human). RNAcentral's name for it is "non-protein coding LINC00467:12". Lineage: Eukaryota; Metazoa; Chordata; Mammalia; Primates; Hominidae. The record is from RNAcentral.
UUAAGGACAAAAUAUGAAACACCAAGAAAAAGAGAAGGAAAAAAAGGAGGAAACAACCACAUAUGUCACCUUUCCAAGAGGGACUGAAACUGGGCUGACCCUUUUGAUUUCCAAGCUCAGCGUUUUGGUGUAAGGCGGCCAAAGAAGGAUGCGGAGCCCAGCACUGUGAAGCCUACAAAAACAUUGAUGCGCUGGCUUGGGGAUUUGAAUUUGAACAUCUUUCACACUAAGUUCAGACUCAUGAAACCAAUCUUCAGAUGCUCUGUAAACCACAUAAUAAAGAGUUUGGAAAUUAUAUUUUGUUUUUGAAGGCCCACGUGCAAAACUUGAGAGCCUCAAGUCCAAGCCAGUUGUGGCAAUUCUAGCCUACUUUUUUUUUAUAUUCAAGUGUGUUGUAGGGAAGGAGGAGAAUAAGUCUGCUUUCUUGAAUAUUAUGCCUAAUUAAUUACGUAUAA